RNAcentral lists this ribosomal RNA (252 nucleotides) under uncultured bacterium. RNAcentral describes it as "partial 16S ribosomal RNA". It matches the Rfam family "Bacterial small subunit ribosomal RNA", at positions 525 to 776 of the family's 1533-position model. The record is from RNAcentral.
ACGAAGGGACCUAGCGUAGUUCGGAAUUACUGGGCGUAAAGAGUAUGUAGGCGGCUAGAUAAGUUAAUUGUGAAAGCCCAAAGCUUAACUUUGGAAUUGCAAUUAAAACUAUUUAGCUGGAGUAUGAUAGAGGAAAGCGGAAUACAUAGUGUAGAGGUGAAAUUCGUAGAUAUUAUGUAGAACACCAGUUGCGAAGGCGGCUUUCUGGAUCAUUACUGACGCUGAGAUACGAAAGUAUGGGUAGCGAAGAGG